AGGCAGCAGUGAGGAAUAUUGGUCAAUGGGAGAGAUCCUGAACCAGCCAAGCCGCGUGAGGGAAGACGGCCCUAUGGGUUGUAAACCUCUUUUGUCGGAGAACAAAACCCGGGACGAGUCCCGGACUGCGUGUAUCCGAAGAAAAAGCAUCGGCUAACUCCGUGCC
Molecule: ribosomal RNA, 166 nt
Filed under: uncultured bacterium
Lineage: Bacteria
Description: partial 16S ribosomal RNA
Rfam family: Bacterial small subunit ribosomal RNA
Source: RNAcentral